Molecule: transfer RNA, 75 nt
Filed under: Peptostreptococcaceae bacterium
Lineage: Bacteria; Bacillati; Bacillota; Clostridia; Peptostreptococcales; Peptostreptococcaceae
Description: tRNA-OTHER
Rfam family: tRNA
About the family: Transfer RNA (tRNA) molecules are approximately 80 nucleotides in length. Their secondary structure includes four short double-helical elements and three loops (D, anti-codon, and T loops).
Source: RNAcentral
GAAAGUAUAAUUUAACUGGUAAAAUACUUAAGUUUAUACUUAAGGUUAUAGGUUCGAUACCUAUUGCUUUCACCA